RNAcentral lists this ribosomal RNA (316 nucleotides) under uncultured bacterium. Its description in RNAcentral is "bacterial SSU rRNA". It matches the Rfam family "Bacterial small subunit ribosomal RNA", at positions 487 to 793 of the family's 1533-position model. The record is from RNAcentral.
GAAGCACCGGCUAACUCCGUGCCACGCAGCCGCGGUAAUACGGAGGGUGCGAGCGUUAAUCGGAAUUACUGGGCGUAAAGACGCAUGCAGGUGGUUUGUUUAAGUUCAGAUGUGAAAGCCCGGGGCGUCAACCUCGGAAUAGCAUUUGAAACUGGCAGACUAGAGUACUGUAGAGGGGGUAGGAAGUUUCUAGGUGUAGCGGUGAAAUAGCGUAGAGAUCUGAAGGAAUACCGGUGGCGAAGGCGGCCCCCUCGGACAGAUACUGACACUCAGAUGCGAAAGCGUGGGGAGCAAACAGGAUUAGAUACCCUGGUAG